AUUGAACGCUGGCGGCAGGCUUAACACAUGCAAGUCGAGCGGGGAAAGGUAGCUUGCUACCUGACCUAGCGGCGGACGGGUGAGUAAUGCUUAGGAAUCUGCCUAUUAGUGGGGGACAACAUCUCGAAAGGGAUGCUAAUACCGCAUACGUCCUACGGGAGAAAGCAGGGGACCUUCGGGCCUUGCGCUAAUAGAUGAGCCUAAGUCGGAUUAGCUAGUUGGUGGGGUAAAGGCCUACCAAGGCGACGAUCUGUAGCGGGUCUGAGAGGAUGAUCCGCCAAACUGGGACUGAGACAAGGCCCAGACUCCUACGGGAGGCAGCAGGGGGGAAUAAUGGACAAUGGGGGGAACCCUGAUCCAGCCAUGCCGGGUGGGUGAAGAAGGCCUUUUGGUUGUAAAGGACUUUAAGCGAGGAGGAGGCUACCGAGAUUAAUACUCUUGGAUAGUGGACGUUACUCGCAGAAUAAGCACCGGCUAACUCUGUG
This 485-nucleotide ribosomal RNA is filed under the name uncultured bacterium. Its description in RNAcentral is "partial 16S ribosomal RNA". It matches the Rfam family "Bacterial small subunit ribosomal RNA", at positions 30 to 507 of the family's 1533-position model. The record is from RNAcentral.